CUUGGAAAACUGAAGCCAAAGGAAUCGGAUCCACCAAGUGCCCUCCCAAAAGCGAAUGUUAGGAUACCCAAUAAGUUAAACCAAAAUUGUUCAGCAUUUUAAUCUUACACGCUAAUGAAAUCUUGAGUUCAGUGGCCAAGAUUUUUGAUGAUGUAAAAAAUUUUGAAAGACUCGUUUGGUUGACCAGAAGUAGAGAGGG
RNAcentral lists this long non-coding RNA (199 nucleotides) under Elaeis guineensis (African oil palm). RNAcentral's name for it is "long non-coding RNA (EGUI_LNC006616)". Lineage: Eukaryota; Viridiplantae; Streptophyta; Magnoliopsida; Arecales; Arecaceae. The record is from RNAcentral.